This 2388-nucleotide long non-coding RNA is filed under the name Volvox carteri. RNAcentral's name for it is "long non-coding RNA (VCAR_LNC001314)". Lineage: Eukaryota; Viridiplantae; Chlorophyta; Chlorophyceae; Chlamydomonadales; Volvocaceae. The record is from RNAcentral.
CCGGAACACAAUGUACGGACGAUGACGAAGAUGAAUUACACUUGACGUUGCCCAGCGGUGUCCUUUCAUGAGUACACAUAAUUGGGGCAGACAAAGUACAGCCGCGUCUAGGGAAACAUAUUUUGGUUCUCGGCUGCCUGAAACACUUUCACAUUUAUGGUAGAAACGUCCGCUGUUAUUGCUGCUGUUGCUACUCAGGAAGAAAAGGUUUAUCCAUGCUAUUUCCUUCCAAUUCGCGAACUCGAAGCUUUGACCGACGCGGCCUUGUCCGCAGCUAUAAGCUAAACUUUUUUUGUCAACUUAAACGCCUCAAGACAGUCAUUCACACAUUACAUGUGCGCAAAAGAAGAGCCAAACUCUGCAGAGACAUGUGGGAAGAUGUAUCGCCGGCUCCUGUGAUUUGUCCACGCAUGAGCUACUGGAGCAUGCCAGGAGCUGCGUGUACACAAACGUAAGACCACAAUCAGGGCUUUCACUAGUGGAACAUAGAUAUAGCAAUCACUUGCAGAGCAGACCCACUGGGACAUGCCCCACUGCCAUGUCCUUACCACGCUGGUUAACCACUGAAGCUGAAAUGUACUCUGUGACAUGCACCUGCAACAGCACGCGAGAGGAUAGUCCUCGAGCGAAGGUGAGGUAUUACCCGAGGUUGGUAUGCGGGGUUUCUUACUAGAUAGUUUCAGGUACCGAUCCUAUCCUGAUUUCCUUGUACACAUAUAAAUGUAUAUAGGCAGGUGGCUGGCAGAGGUGAAGGCCUGACUUCUGCUCCCGGAGUGUCCGGGUUCAAAUCCGCCUGCUGACCCCUCGGGUGUGUGAGGGGUGGUGAAUUGGGAGGUGGCCCCCCAUCGUGUGGAUGGUGUAGGACGUGAUUAUAUCAACUUGCGAGCUGACCAGGAACUAAGGUGAGGCGCCGUUGAUCCGCUAGAUUUAGUUGGAUGUUGGUGGUGAGUUGCGGAACCCAGCGAAUACAUUCUGAAGUCGGAUGGGGUGAAUGGAUCAGGGUGCCCCUCUCGCAGGGGAGAGCAGGGAACUGCCUCGGGAAAGGGGGCCGCUGGUGAAGCUAUACCACCCUGUAACAACAUACAUAUAAAUACUAGGGUUUGGCACUACUGGUAAGGCGCGACCAUAGCCCCCGGGAGAUCCCGGGAUCGGUACCCAUUAGGGUCAAAAGUCCUUCCGAUGGUGGAAGGCAUUGCGCCCCUAGUUGAUGGACGGUGGUGACCUGGGAUAAAGUUAACCUGCGAGCCGACCAGGAAUGGAGUUGGGCCGCUGUCGACCCGGCAGAUUCCGUUGGAUGCUGGUGUUGGGUGCGGAACCUGAGCGAUCCACUGAGAAGUUGACUAGGGUGACUGGAUGAGGGUGCCCCGAAAUACCGGGGAAGGCAGGGUUUCGCAGGGUAGCUGCCACGGGCGAAGAUACACCCCCCUGUUUCACACAUCAUAUAAAUGUAUGAAUCCAGAAACGUUUGUGGGAACGAUCGAUUAUGCUGGUCAUCACGACUUACAACUGCUACGUCGGAGGGAACCCGAAAAUGGUAGCGGUAUGUUCGCUUGCCCCUGUACCAAUAAUCCGGCGCGGGCGAGAAAGAUAGUUUGCCCACACAUCCACCCAAAUUAACCACAAAUUUCAAGUACUCGAGCAAGACUUCAACAUGUUGUGUUGCAACCAUCAAUUUUCAAAAAAAAAGUACAGCAGCUGCUGAUGCCUGUGAAUCUCAUCACGUGUCAUGCAUGCCUGUAAGUGACAUGCCGCCACAUUCAAGAACCAAGCAAGAUCCAAGGAAUUGAUAUUUUGCUGACCUAACAACCAACCAACCGAACAAACCGACCAAACAAACCUAGGUAACGAAUUCAGCUGAGAAGGAAUUGACAUGCGGACCUAUGCUAACAACCAACCAAAUUGACCAUUGAACAAAAGAAGCAAACCCAGGUAACGAAUCUGGCCAACAUUCUACCCACGGCAAGCGACACCUCGUGUGAGGCAAUCAAAUGCGUGCAUCAUCUGCUCCCCAUAUUUGCAAUGCCGCGGCUUGCAUGGGCCGACGGAAUCAGAGGAAUGCACUCCCGACUGCUGCCAAGCAAAAAAUUUACUCAGUACAAGGAAACCUGUGCUACCUAAUAACCUGCCUAUACAAAAUUUCUGCCUGACAACUACAAUGCUAUAUGUGACCUAAUGACCUGUGCUGUAUGCACCUAUCCUACAUCCUGCUUGUAACCCAUCAGCUGCUGCAGUACCUGCCUAAUACACAGCCUGCGCAAUAACGUACCUAACUAAUCACUAUGCCUACUGCCCUACCGGCACAUACAAUGUUGUAGCCGUACUGCCUUAAUAACAAAAUUACUUUCAUUUUGCUUCAAUGAAUGAAUGGAUGGAGCUGAGCGGUUCAAA